This 468-nucleotide ribosomal RNA is filed under the name uncultured bacterium. Its description in RNAcentral is "partial 16S ribosomal RNA". It matches the Rfam family "Bacterial small subunit ribosomal RNA", at positions 28 to 507 of the family's 1533-position model. The record is from RNAcentral.
GACGAACGCUGGCGGCGUGCUUAACACAUGCAAGUCGAACGGAAAGGCCCUGCUUUUGUGGGGUGCUCGAGUGGCGAAUGGGUGAGUAACACGUGAGUAACCUGCCCUUGACUUUGGGAUAACUUCAGGAAACUGGGGCUAAUACCGGAUAGGGGCUCCUGCUGCAUGGUGGGGGUUGGAAAGUUUCGGCGGUUGGGGAUGGACUCGCGGCUUAUCAGCUUGUUGGUGGGGUAGUGGCUUACCAAGGCUUUGACGGGUAGCCGGCCUGAGAGGGUGACCGGCCACAUUGGGACUGAGAUACGGCCCAGACUCCUACGGGAGGCAGCAGUGGGGAAUAUUGCACAAUGGGCGGAAGCCUGAUGCAGCAACGCCGCGUGCGGGAUGACGGCCUUCGGGUUGUAAACCGCUUUCGCCUGUGACGAAGCGUGAGUGACGGUAAUGGGUAAAGAAGCACCGGCUAACUACGUG